RNAcentral lists this ribosomal RNA (153 nucleotides) under Paralicella tenuipes. RNAcentral describes it as "partial 16S large subunit ribosomal RNA". The record is from RNAcentral. Lineage: Eukaryota; Metazoa; Arthropoda; Malacostraca; Amphipoda; Lysianassidae.
AGCUUUAUAUUUAUAUUUUAWAAAUAAGUAAUUUUAUUAAAUUUUAAAAUUAAAAUAUAAUUAACUGGGGUAGUUAUUUUAGUUAAAUUAAUAUGAAUUUAAACAAAUUAAUGGUAAUUGUKCCUUUAUAUAAGGGAAUAUAUAAAUAGUUAC